UACGGAGGGUGCAAGCGUUAUCCGGAUUCACUGGGUUUAAAGGGUGCGCAGGCGGUUGUUUAAGUCAGGGGUGAAAGCCCUAUGCUCAACAUAGGGAUUGCCUUUGAUACUGAACGGCUAGAGUGAAGAUGGAGUGGGUGGAAUGUGUUGUGUAGCGGUGAAAUGCAUAGAUAUAACACAGAACACCGAUCGCGAAGGCAGCUCACUAAUUUUCAACUGACGCUCAUGCACGAAAGCGUGGGGAUCAAACAGG
RNAcentral lists this ribosomal RNA (253 nucleotides) under uncultured microorganism. RNAcentral's name for it is "partial 16S ribosomal RNA". It matches the Rfam family "Bacterial small subunit ribosomal RNA", at positions 524 to 776 of the family's 1533-position model. The record is from RNAcentral.